This 73-nucleotide small RNA is filed under the name Arabidopsis thaliana (thale cress). Its description in RNAcentral is "ATSL275900". The record is from RNAcentral. Lineage: Eukaryota; Viridiplantae; Streptophyta; Magnoliopsida; Brassicales; Brassicaceae.
AUCGCAUCAUCCAUGGUGGUGUAUGAACACUUAGCGCGUGAGAUCGACCAUGGAAGUGAGGCACAUCAGCAGG